UCCUGCGGGAGGCAGCAGUGGGGAAUUUUGGACAAUGGGCGAAAGCCUGAUCCAGCAAUGCCGCGUGAGUGAAGAAGGCCUUCGGGUUGUAAAGCUCUUUUGUCAGGGAAGAAACGGUGAGAGCUAAUAUCUCUUGCUAAUGACGGUACCUGAAGAAUAAGCACCGGCUAACUACGUGCCAGCAGCCGCGGUAAUACGUAGGGUGCAAGCGUUAAUCGGAAUUUCUGGGCGUAAAGCGUGCGCAGGCGGUUUUGUAAGUCUGAUGUGAAAUCCCCGGGCUCAACCUGGGAAUUGCAUUGGAGACUGCAAGGCUAGAAUCUGGCAGAGGGGGGUAGAAUUCCACGUGUAGCAGUGAAAUGCGUAGAUAUGUGGAGGAACACCGAUGGCGAAGGCAGCCCCCUGGGUCAAGAUUGACGCUCAUGCACGAAAGCGUGGGGAGCAAACAGGAUUAGAAACCCGAGUAGUCCCAU
This 470-nucleotide ribosomal RNA is filed under the name uncultured organism. RNAcentral's name for it is "partial 16S ribosomal RNA". It matches the Rfam family "Bacterial small subunit ribosomal RNA", at positions 337 to 798 of the family's 1533-position model. The record is from RNAcentral.